UGAUUAAUAUUAUUAUUAUACCCAGGU
Molecule: non-coding RNA, 27 nt
Filed under: Drosophila melanogaster (fruit fly)
Lineage: Eukaryota; Metazoa; Arthropoda; Insecta; Diptera; Drosophilidae
Source: RNAcentral